GCUGGGCAUGGUAGCACACGCCUGUAAUCCCAGCUGCUUGGAAGGCUGAGGCAGGAGGAUCAUGAAUUCAAAGCCAACCUCAGCAAAAACGAGGUGUUAAAAACUCAGUGAGACCCUGUCUCUA
Molecule: small RNA, 124 nt
Filed under: Marmota monax (woodchuck)
Lineage: Eukaryota; Metazoa; Chordata; Mammalia; Rodentia; Sciuridae
Source: RNAcentral